RNAcentral lists this long non-coding RNA (1076 nucleotides) under Dasypus novemcinctus (nine-banded armadillo). RNAcentral describes it as "lncRNA (ENSDNOG00000052076.1)". The record is from RNAcentral. Lineage: Eukaryota; Metazoa; Chordata; Mammalia; Cingulata; Dasypodidae.
GACAUUCUUAAAAAAAUAAUUACCAGACCUAACCUUUUAGUACAGCUCAUAGAACAACCAAGCAGACACUCACGGGGCGCCACUGCCCCUCGCGCCCCCAGCGGGUUCCCACAUCAGCAGCAGCUGGCGUUAGUGUGGACUGUCGUUUCAGCAGAGAGCCACGCUGAGACGCCAGUUUAGCUGGAGUCCACACGCUCCCGGAGCGUCCCCCUCAGCAGAAGCUCCCUUUUUUUUUAAAAAAAAAGAUUUAUUUAUUUUUCAUUUCUUCUCCCCACCCCGACUUGUCUACUCUCUGUCCAUUCACUGUAUGUUCUUCCAUGUCCGCUUGUAUUCUUGUCAGCGGCACCAGGAAUCUGUGUCUCUCUGUUGUGUCAUCUUGUUGUGUCAUUUCUCCGUGUGUGCGGCACCAUUCCUGGGCAGGCUGCACUUUCUUUCGCGCUGGGUGGCUCUCCUUAUGGGGCACACUCCUUGACAGUGGGGCUCCCCUACACGGGGGACACCCCUGCGAGGCACGGCACUCCUUGUGCACAGCACUGCACAUGGGCCAGCUCCACACGGGUCAGGAGGCCCCGGGGUUUGAACCGCGGACCUCCCAUGUGGUAGGCGGAUGUCCUAUCCAUUGGGCCAAAUUUGCUUCCUGAAACUCCCUUUUAAAAACAUCCGUCCAGCAUCUGCCGUUCGGGCAUCCGUCCAGCACGCUCGGGCUCCUCCCUGAGGCCGGCCUGGGGUCCACCUGCGGCUGGCCGUGGGCCCAUGGCGCCUCCGGCCAGGACCCCCGCCCUCCGCGCCAGUCCACCCAGCCCGGCCUGGCCCUCCUCCACCUGCAGGUGCAGCCGGGAACUUCCUGUGUCCGGCCGGCGCGUUGUCCUUCAGAGCCUUCAAGACCGUGGUGGACAUCGACACCAUCGGCACCUUCAACGUGUGCCGUGUGCUCUACGAAAAGUUAUUCCGGGACCACGGAGGCGUGAUCGUCAACAUCACCGCAACUCUGAACCACCGGGGGCAGAUGCUGCAGGUGCACGCGGGCUCCGCCAAGGCGGUCGUGGGUACGCGCCCCUACGCCCGGCAGUUUCCCU